This 1588-nucleotide ribosomal RNA is filed under the name Listeria welshimeri. RNAcentral describes it as "partial 23S ribosomal RNA". It matches the Rfam family "Bacterial large subunit ribosomal RNA", at positions 1 to 1579 of the family's 2925-position model. Lineage: Bacteria; Bacillati; Bacillota; Bacilli; Caryophanales; Listeriaceae. The record is from RNAcentral.
UUGGUUAAGUUAGAAAGGGCGCACGGUGGAUGCCUUGGCACUAGGAGCCGAAGAAGGACGGGACUAACACCGAUAUGCUUUGGGGAGCUGUACGUAAGCGUUGAUCCAGAGAUUUCCGAAUGGGGGAACCCACUAUCUUUAGUCGGAUAGUAUCCUUACGUGAAUACAUAGCGUGAGGAAGGCAGACCCAGGGAACUGAAACAUCUAAGUACCUGGAGGAAGAGAAAGAAAAAUCGAUUUCCUGAGUAGCGGCGAGCGAAACGGAAAGAGCCCAAACCAAGAAGCUUGCUUCUUGGGGUUGUAGGACACUCUAUACGGAGUUACAAAAGAAAGUUAUAAAUGAAGCGGUCUGGAAAGGCCCGCCAAAGACGGUAACAGCCCGGUAGUUGAAAUAGCUUUCCCUCCAGAGUGGAUCCUGAGUACGGCGGAACACGUGAAAUUCCGUCGGAAUCCGGGAGGACCAUCUCCCAAGGCUAAAUACUCCCUAGUGACCGAUAGUGAACCAGUACCGUGAGGGAAAGGUGAAAAGCACCCCGGAAGGGGAGUGAAACAGUUCCUGAAACCGUGUGCCUACAAGUAGUUAGAGCCCGUUAAUGGGUGAUAGCGUGCCUUUUGUAGAAUGAACCGGCGAGUUACGAUUUGUUGCAAGGUUAAGCGGAAAAAGCGGAGCCGUAGCGAAAGCGAGUCUGAAUAGGGCGCAUAAGUAACAGGUCGUAGACCCGAAACCAGGUGAUCUACCCAUGUCCAGGAUGAAGGUAAGGUAAUACUUACUGGAGGUCCGAACCCACGCACGUUGAAAAGUGCGGGGAUGAGGUGUGGGUAGCGGAGAAAUUCCAAUCGAACUUGGAGAUAGCUGGUUCUCUCCGAAAUAGCUUUAGGGCUAGCCUCGAGGUAAAGAGUCAUGGAGGUAGAGCACUGUUUGGACUAGGGGCCCUUCUCGGGUUACCGAAUUCAGAUAAACUCCGAAUGCCAUGUACUUAUACUCGGGAGUCAGACUGCGAGUGAUAAGAUCCGUAGUCGAAAGGGAAACAGCCCAGACCACCAGUUAAGGUCCCCAAAUAUAUGUUAAGUGGAAAAGGAUGUGGGGUUGCUUAGACAACCAGGAUGUUGGCUUAGAAGCAGCCACCAUUGAAAGAGUGCGUAAUAGCUCACUGGUCGAGUGACCCCGCGCCGAAAAUGUACCGGGGCUAAACAUAUUACCGAAACUGUGGAUGAACCUCUUUGGAGGUUCGUGGUAGGAGAGCGUUCUAAGGGCGGUGAAGUCAGACCGGAAGGACUGGUGGAGCGCUUAGAAGUGAGAAUGCCGGUAUGAGUAGCGAAAGAAGGGUGAGAAUCCCUUCCACCGAAUAUCUAAGGUUUCCUGAGGAAGGCUCGUCCGCUCAGGGUUAGUCGGGACCUAAGCCGAGGCCGAUAGGCGUAGGCGAUGGACAACAGGUAGAGAUUCCUGUACCAGUGCUAAUUGUUUAACCGAUGGGGUGACACAGAAGGAUAGGGAAUCGCACGAAUGGAAAUGUGCGUCCAAGCAGUGAGUGUGAGAAGUAGGCAAAUCCGCUUCUCGCGAAGCAUGAGCUGUGAUGGGGAAGGAAAU